UGUCGUCAUAGCAACCGAGGACGCGAGCCAGAGCAACCCUCGCGGGGCGGCGGCGGAGGGAGGAAGCUACGAAACUCUCUCGUAAUUUCGCAUAAUCCCCAGUACUCACAGCAUGCCAAGAUACUUACUUCCAAAGAACAUGAAGAGCACGAAGAGCACGGGAUAGAAGAAGCUCAAGCAAACAGCCAAGGCAUACUCGUGCACUACAGCAGACACAGCAAAGACAGCUAACAUGGCAGCAGACUUGAACCUCUUAGAGAACAACUAAGGGAAAACAUUAAAAAGUAACAAAAUCAAGGCUUAGAAAGGAGAAGAGAUUUGCCUCCUCAGUGUGUGAAACUGCACUUAAAGGACAGAAUUAGCACUCAAAUACAAUCCCAUUUCUACCAUGAGAUGCUGUCACUUGGUUAGAUGGUGCCAUUUCCUAAUAAAAGCUGUAAUUCAGAGAUACCAGUGUCAACCAAGAAAUUCAAGUCUAAGUACAUUCUGCUCUAAGGAAUAUCCAAAGACGUGUCACUGAUUAGAGAGACAUAAAUCCACAAAAGGUGUUUCUCCACUUUUAACAAAAAAACAAAAACGAAAAAAGGCUAGAGGGAGAUUAUUUGUUGGCAACGAGAUUCAUAAGAAAUGAUCCAUUAUUGGUGGAUCAUUUCCGCUGUUCCCAAGACUUCCAUGCAUUCUUACUUUGUUAUCAUAUAAAAUAAAACCCAGAGCAAACACAUAGUAUUAGACCUAGUACUAUACAUACUGGUUUCUAAGCAACACUAUUUAAAGCAGAAAGGUUCUUAGAUGUAAACGUCCCAUAGGAAAACUGAAAAGAUAUUAUCACCCUUUCUUCAUGAGCAAUUAAAUACAACUUCUUCCAGCUGCAUAAUACUAAUACUUUUUGGAAAAAAAUCUCCAUUUUCUUUCUUCUCUUCUCUCCUUUUCU
This is a non-coding RNA of Microcebus murinus (gray mouse lemur), 931 nucleotides long. The record is from RefSeq and is a predicted model, not a curated record. Lineage: Eukaryota; Metazoa; Chordata; Mammalia; Primates; Cheirogaleidae.